Molecule: long non-coding RNA, 377 nt
Filed under: Homo sapiens (human)
Lineage: Eukaryota; Metazoa; Chordata; Mammalia; Primates; Hominidae
Description: HSALNT0390381
Source: RNAcentral
AUACUUUUCAAUUUGUUGUCCUUCUUCCACUUCAUGCGCCGGUUCUGGAACCAGAUCUUGAUCUGGCGCUCGGACAGGCAGAGUGCGUGGGCGAUCUCGAUGCGCCGUCGCCGGGUCAGACUUCGCUUGAAAAGAUCGAGAAUGGAGGAGGGGAUCGGCACUCACUUGCAGACAUCAACAGUUUCCAGAAAAUUCGGUUCAAUUCCUUCACCACGGACCCACCAACCAAGGAGCUGGCAAAACCCACUAACCAACCAGGAGAACACAGACCCGGUUUGUCUUUUGACAACCGAGUGGAACUGACGGGGCCGGCGCCUGCCCUGCGGGUCCCCUCCCUUGGCUGAGAAGAAAACCAAAUAAACCUUGAACAGCCUUGG